RNAcentral lists this long non-coding RNA (477 nucleotides) under Jatropha curcas. Its description in RNAcentral is "long non-coding RNA (JCUR_LNC000247)". The record is from RNAcentral. Lineage: Eukaryota; Viridiplantae; Streptophyta; Magnoliopsida; Malpighiales; Euphorbiaceae.
ACAAAAGCAAAACAAAUCAAUAGCCAAUUUCACAAAAAUCUAUUCAAUUAUACAAAAUACAACUCGAAACAUAGAAGUUCCCAAAAUUUCCUCACGAAAAUAGAAUCACAAACAGCCAUUAAAAUUAAACUAAAACAUAUCAAUGAUGAGCACUAACCUCCAAAUGCACAAUUGUCCAAUUAACUCGAUAAUCAGGCAUGAAAAUUAUGUUUCUUUUUCUCUAAUGCACUAACCUCAUGAAAAUAGCAUCCCCCUUGCCUUUAUUCGUCCUUCUCAAAAUUAAUAGCCUGUUCUUGAUUUUUCUUUGCUCAAUACCACCAAUCUAUAGCUUUAAUUCUUGUUAAUUUCUUCCUUAAAUCACUAUUUAGUAAUCUAUUUUCUGUACUUUGCUUUAGAAAAGUGAGAGCGAUGAAAAGAAGCUCUCUGUGUUUCUUUGUUAGGAGGAGCCGCACAAGACUAAAGAGAAGCUACGGCUUC